Molecule: non-coding RNA, 99 nt
Organism: Crepidotus variabilis
Lineage: Eukaryota; Fungi; Basidiomycota; Agaricomycetes; Agaricales; Crepidotaceae
Source: the annotation of a GenBank genome assembly
GGACCCCUAGCUCAGUGGUAGAGUAUGAGAUUCCAGAUCACGUGAUGUCACGUGACUUAGGCUUCCUCAGGGUCAUCCGUUCAAUCCGGGUGGGGUUCA